Molecule: long non-coding RNA, 1156 nt
Organism: Apis cerana (Asiatic honeybee)
Lineage: Eukaryota; Metazoa; Arthropoda; Insecta; Hymenoptera; Apidae
Source: RefSeq, a predicted model, not a curated record
AGAUGUUAUAAGUGAUAUAAUGGUACCAAUGAAUUGUGAAAAUGGCCUAAAGGAAAAAGAAAGAAAAAACCCUUUGUUGAGGAUUUCUCUUAAUAAUCCUGAUAAAGAAAGAAAAUAUUAGAAGAAAAAUAGAAAUAGGUUAAAAAUAUUUUCAAGAUAUUACAAAUGAUAAAAUAUAAAAUAUAUAAGAAAAUUAUAAAAAAUUAUAAAAAAUAAAAAUAAGAAAAUUAUAAAAAAAAACAAAAAAGAUAAAUAUAAGAGAUAUGAGAAAAAGAUAAAUAUAAGAAUAAAAAUGUUUUUAUGACACAGGAUUUUGAUUAUUUGUACAUCCGGUUAUUAGCUGAUUACUGAUCUACUUUCAAAGGCGGGAAAAAUUUCAAUAUGGACGCCAUGAAGAAGUGAUAAAUUUAGAUUUUUUUGGCCACAUAUAAUUACAACAAAAUAUGUUAUAUAUAUUACUUCAAUUUUUACGUAGAUUUUAAAUAAACAAUCAACAGUUUUAAGUAACCAAAAAAUUGCUAGAUUCAGAUAUUCAGACAAAUUAUUGCAUCAUAAUUGAUCUGAAUCAUAAUCGAAAAUUGAAAAUCAUAAUGAUAGGAUAUAUUUCAUUGAGGUAUUUAGAUUAUGCUAUACUAUAUGACAUAAAAAAUAUUAAUUGAAAUUAAAACAUGCGAUACAAAGUUUCGUAAGAUUUCAUAUCUAUUUUGUUUUUCGUAUCGUGCAAAGAUAUUUUUAAAGCAAAGUAAAAUAAGAAUUGCGUAUCAACGCCAUCUCUUGAGUAAUUGUGAAAAGAAACACUUAAUAUAUAGUAUUGAAUUUCUAUUAUUAUUUUAGUUGCCUUAACUUGCUUAGAGAGAUAUUUUCAGUACUCAAAAGAUGGCGCCUAUGAUUUGAUUUUACGAACAUAUUUUUACUAUCUCUGUUCCUCUCUCAUUAUUUCUUUUUUUAUCUAUUCUAGACAAAAGUCUGGAAAAUUUACAUUUAAUUUCGAUAUUUGAUUAACUUUAUUGUCUUUUUUUCACAUAACCUAUCUUAAUGAAAAAUCUUAAUAAAGUCUAUUCUAAUUUUUAUAUAUUGUACGUAAUGUCAAAAGUUUUCUGUGAAUAUCUCUUGUGAAGGCUAAGGAGAAAGAAAGGAAUAAAAAAGGAUUAAUUUA